UCUCUGUGGGUACGACCUUACUCAUCACUAUUGCAAUUAAUAAGAGUAAGUAAUUUAUUAUUUGUUGGAUUCGACACCAAUCAACUAUACGCAUAUAAUUUUAUUUUGAUGAGC
Long non-coding RNA from Ipomoea nil (Japanese morning glory), 114 nucleotides. RefSeq lists it as uncharacterized. The record is from RefSeq and is a predicted model, not a curated record. Lineage: Eukaryota; Viridiplantae; Streptophyta; Magnoliopsida; Solanales; Convolvulaceae. The transcript is spliced from 3 exons.